Molecule: ribosomal RNA, 836 nt
Filed under: Wiesneriomyces laurinus
Lineage: Eukaryota; Fungi; Ascomycota; Dothideomycetes; Tubeufiales; Wiesneriomycetaceae
Description: partial large subunit ribosomal RNA
Rfam family: Eukaryotic large subunit ribosomal RNA
Source: RNAcentral
UGCCUCAGUAACGGCGAGUGAAGCGGCAAUAGCUCAAAUUUGAAAUCUGGCUCUUUCAGGGUCCGAGUUGUAAUUUGCAGAGGAUGCUUCGGCUUCGGCCCCGGUCUAAGUUCCUUGGAACAGGACGUCACAGAGGGUGAGAAUCCCGUAUGUGAUCGGUGGCCUUCGCCAUGUGAAGCUCCUUCGACGAGUCGAGUUGUUUGGGAAUGCAGCUCUAAAUGGGAGGUAAAUUUCUUCUAAAGCUAAAUAUUGGCCAGAGACCGAUAGCGCACAAGUAGAGUGAUCGAAAGAUGAAAAGCACUUUGGAAAGAGAGUUAAAAAGUACGUGAAAUUGUUGAAAGGGAAGCGCUUGCAAUCAGACUUGCCCGCGGUUGCUCAACCGGUCUUUUGGCCGGUGUACUCUUCCGCGGUCAGGCCAGCAUCAGUUCGGGCGGUCGGAUAAAGGCUUAGGGAAUGUGGCUCUCUUCGGGGAGUGUUAUAGCCCUUUGUGCAAUGCGGCCCGCCUGGACUGAGGUCCGCGCUUCGGCUAGGAUGCUGGCGUAAUGGUUGUAAGCGGCCCGUCUUGAAACACGGACCAAGGAGUCUAACAUCUAUGCGAGUGUUUGGGUGUCAAACCCGUACGCGUAAUGAAAGUGAACGGAGGUGGGAACCUUAGGGUGCACCAUCGACCGAUCCUGAUGUCUUCGGAUGGAUUUGAGUAUGAGCAUAGCUGUUGGGACCCGAAAGAUGGUGAACUAUGCCUGAAUAGGGUGAAGCCAGAGGAAACUCUGGUGGAGGCUCGCAGCGGUUCUGACGUGCAAAUCGAUCGUCAAAUUUGGGUAUAGGGGCGAAAGACU